AAAUAAUUUAACGGCCGCAGUAUUUUGACUGUGCUAAGGUAGCAUAAUAGCUUGUCUCUUAAUUAGAGUCUAGUAUGAAAGAUAAAAUAAAUUCUAGCUUUCCCUCUUUUAAAAAUUUAAUUUUAUUAUUAAGUUAAAAAGCUUAAAUACAUAAAAAAGACGAUAAGACCCUAUGAAAUUUUAUUAUAAUAAAAUUUUUCUCAUAAUUUACAAAGAAUUAGCUUAAUUUGAAAAUGAUUUAGUUGGGGCGACUUUAAUUUAAAAAUAAACAAUUAAACUCCUUAAUAAGAAAAACUUAAAUUCAUGUAGAACCUUACUUAGUUUGCUUGAUUAAAUUACUCUAGGGAUAACAGCGUAAUUUCUCUGGAGAGCCCUUAUCGAUAGAGGA
RNAcentral lists this ribosomal RNA (388 nucleotides) under cf. Pilbaranella sp. D GP-2018. Its description in RNAcentral is "partial 16S ribosomal RNA". It matches the Rfam family "Bacterial large subunit ribosomal RNA", at positions 1914 to 2515 of the family's 2925-position model. Lineage: Eukaryota; Metazoa; Arthropoda; Malacostraca; Bathynellacea; Bathynellidae. The record is from RNAcentral.